UCGAGAAUUUUUCUCAAUGGGGGAAACCCUGAAGGAGCGACGCCGCGUGGAGGAUGAAGGUCUUCGGGUUGUAAACUCCUGUCAUUUGGGAACAAGUCGCUUACGUUAACUGCGUGAGCGUUGAUAGUACCAGAAGAGGAAGAGACGGCUAACUCUGUGCCAGCAGCCGCGGUAAUACAGAGGUCUCAAGCGUUGUUCGGAUUCAUUGGGCGUAAAGGGUGCGUAGGUGGCGUCGUAAGUCAGGUGUGAAAUCUCGGAGCUUAACUCCGAAACUGCAUUUGAUACUGCGGUGCUUGAGGACUGGAGAGGAGACUGGAAUUUACGGUGUAGCAGUGAAAUGCGUAGAGAUCGUAAGGAAGACCAGUGGCGAAGGCGGGUCUCUGGACAGUUCCUGACACUGAGGCACGAAGGCCAGGGGAGCAAACGG
Molecule: ribosomal RNA, 427 nt
Filed under: uncultured bacterium
Lineage: Bacteria
Description: bacterial SSU rRNA
Rfam family: Bacterial small subunit ribosomal RNA
Source: RNAcentral